Molecule: long non-coding RNA, 1096 nt
Organism: Eriocheir sinensis (Chinese mitten crab)
Lineage: Eukaryota; Metazoa; Arthropoda; Malacostraca; Decapoda; Varunidae
Exons: 3
Source: RefSeq, a predicted model, not a curated record
CAAAAGAAGAAGAAGAAGAGUAAGUUCACGGGCCGGUCUCCGUAGCGCCAUAAACCUUACUUUUUCUCGUGUUUUCCUUCAAACUACAAUGAAGAGAAGAUCCACAGCCUGUGAGAAGAAGGUGGAGAGGACAGUGGCGGCCAGGGAAAGGAAGAAAAACCGCAGAGAAGCCUUCAUGUGACGAAAGUGCCCUUCCACUUCACCACCACCACAACCACCACCACCACUACCACAACCACUACCACCAAAUCACCACACUAAGAUUGGCUACAGUGAAGGUCGUGGCAGCCAGUCAGAGAGUGUACUGAAACUCCUGCUGUGAGCUACUCCUGAGGGCCAAGACCUGCACCCUCACCACCCCUGUAAAGGAUGCCCAGCUGACCCAACCCUCCACGGUGUGUGUUGAUGCUGGGACCAAGAAGAAGAAGAAAAAGAGGAAGAGGAGGAGAAGGAAGAAGAAGAAGAAGAAUAAGAGGAGGAGGAAGAAUGGAAGAAGAGUACACACACACACACACACACACACACACACACACGACAAACACCUUUUUAGAUAUUUUUCAUUUUUAUUAGUCCAUACAACAUACAUUAGCUAUAUACAUAUUAUACAACAUAUGCAUAACUAUAUACAUUAGAAAUAAAGCGUUUUGUGGGUGUCUAUGGCGGUCUUCACCGUUAUAUAUCGCCAUUUUCCUCUUCAUCCUGGAGAUAAAUUACAUUGUAUAAUUAAACCAAAUUUUUUUUCCAUACCCACCAGCUCACAAAACCUAAAAAUAAUACUAAAAACCGGCAGUGAAUCAUGAAAUAGCGAUUAUGGCGUCAUUCUCUGCACUCUAUUACAGCUGACAUUUCUUUGUUAAUCUUUCUUCUUCACGUACCACUGAAGUUCCUCAUUUAAUUAUCUCUGCCUCAUAAUACAAAGUUCUGUACAUAGCUCUCUGUAUACAGUCUGUUUUUACCUCACAAUUGUUCCUCAUUUCUCGAUUCUCCUUAUUUCUUUGUUAAUCUUUUUCUCAUUCACCUAUAAGCUCACAACUGUGUCUCAUUUCUCUCUACGGUAUAUCUCAUGCUAUAAUAAAGUUCUUUAUGGCUCUCUGUA